This is a long non-coding RNA of Gasterosteus aculeatus aculeatus (three-spined stickleback), 486 nucleotides long. Lineage: Eukaryota; Metazoa; Chordata; Actinopteri; Perciformes; Gasterosteidae. The record is from Ensembl.
GGUCCGGUCACUGCGCGGCGCAUCCUGUUACCUUGAGUGAAAGAUAACAGCCGAAGAAAUGACAGCAGCGCCUUAUGGACAAAUAAAAGCGAAAACCCUGGAAUGUUGUUAGCUCCCGUGUUGUUUUGUUGUUUGGGAGAGUCAUGACGUCCUCGCAGAGGACUCGAUAUGGAGGCGAAGCGGCGCGCGACACUAAAUGGAGAAUGGCAGCUCCUCCAGUCCUGUUGUUAAAGCGCGCUGGCGGAGCACCUCAGCCCCGGCCCCUUCACCCCCACCCGAUGCGACUGGUCCAGAGAUCCCACUUACCUCCUCCUCCUCCUCCUCAGCUCCCUCUCUUCCAUACGCGGCAUGCAGAAGAGAGCGCAGAGAGGCCGCAUCUGGUCACCAUCAUCCGCCCUCAAAGUCAAAGUGCACUACGCAAGGUGACGGUCCUGUUGAACCGCAGAGGUGUGGUGUCCUUCGAGCAACUGCUGCUGGAUAUCUCUG